UACGGAGGGUGCAAGCGUUAUCCGGAUUCACUGGGUUUAAAGGGUGCGUAGGCGGGCAGGUAAGUCAGUGGUGAAAUCUCCGGGCUUAACCCGGAAACUGCCGUUGAUACUAUCUGUCUUGAAUAUCGUGGAGGUAAGCGGAAUAUGUCAUGUAGCGGUGAAAUGCUUAGAUAUGACAUAGAACACCGAUUGCGAAGGCAGCUUACUACACGAUCAUUGACGCUGAGGCACGAAAGCGUGGGGAGCAAACAGG
This 253-nucleotide ribosomal RNA is filed under the name uncultured bacterium. Its description in RNAcentral is "partial 16S ribosomal RNA". It matches the Rfam family "Bacterial small subunit ribosomal RNA", at positions 524 to 776 of the family's 1533-position model. RNAcentral also lists the same sequence under 1 other name. The record is from RNAcentral.